Molecule: long non-coding RNA, 504 nt
Filed under: Trifolium pratense (red clover)
Lineage: Eukaryota; Viridiplantae; Streptophyta; Magnoliopsida; Fabales; Fabaceae
Description: long non-coding RNA (TPRA_LNC011422)
Source: RNAcentral
AAUUAGUUGAGUUUACCAAUUUAUUAUCAUCUGCUCUUUCAUUGUCAAAACUCACGUGCAACUCAAUUUCAGAAUCACUUAAAUCUUCAUAGCAUGUUCUUUGGCCGCGGUCCCUAAGAUUAUAGGCAAUCUUCUUUGGUGUUGUCCCUGAAAGUUUAGAUCAUACAAUAGCAAUUUUAUUUGUCAAAACAUUUGCGACAAAACAUUAUAUAGCUAGCGUAAAAAAUCAUUUUUGUAUAAGAAACAUUUGCACAAACAUUCAUUAGCAGUUUGAAAUUGGAAUUGGAUUCUCUACGGUAAUUGUGUGAUGCAGUUAUUGAUUUCGAUUGUCUGGUCAAAAUUAGUGUUAUUAAGUUGAUUUAGUUAAUGUAUAAUUUGAAUUGUCUGAUAAAAAAAAUUAGUUUAUAUCUGUCAAAAACUUUCAUCUAUAAGAUUCUUCACAAAAACUAGCUGUUACAAAUAAACAUCUGUUCUUUCUUCAAGUGACUAUGAAUUGAUGAAACA